Molecule: long non-coding RNA, 175 nt
Organism: Pollicipes pollicipes
Lineage: Eukaryota; Metazoa; Arthropoda; Thecostraca; Pollicipedomorpha; Pollicipedidae
Exons: 3
Source: RefSeq, a predicted model, not a curated record
CAAAGAGGAACAUGAAGCCUGAAGUCAGAAGGCCCAGCGGGAGCAGGCUAUCAGGGCUGCCAAGGAGAAGAACAGGGCCACAAAAAGCGCCAAGGCAAAGACGGCCACACAGAGCAAGGCGAAGCAGCCCAAGCAGAAGAUGAAGGUGCCCAAGGCGAAGGCGAUGCCCAAGCAG